AGCAGCCGCGGUAAUUCCAGCUCCAAUAGCGUAUAUUAAAGUUGUUGCAGUUAAAAAGCUCGUAGUUGAAUUUCGGGAUCAAUAUGCCGGUCAUGCCUUGGUAUGUACUGGUAUCUUUGAUUUCUCCCUUCUGACGAACUUUGAUGUCAUUAAUUUGGUGUCAUAGGGAAUCAGGACUGUUACUUUGAAAAAAUUAGAGUGUUUAAAGCAGGCUCACGCUUGAAUACAUUAGCAUGGAAUAAUGAAAUAGGACGUUUGAUUCUAUUUUGUUGGUUUCUAGGAUCGACGUAAUGAUUAAUAGGGAUAGUUGGGGGCAUUAGUAUUCAAUUGUCAGAGGUGAAAUUCUUGGAUUUAUUGAAGACUAACUACUGCGAAAGCAUUUGCCAAGGAUGUUUUCAUUAAUCAAGAACGAAAGUUAGGGGAUCGAAGACGAUCAGAUACCGUCGUAGUCUUAACCAUAAACUAUGCCGACUAGGGAUCGGAUGAUGUUAAUUUUUAAUGACUCAUUC
Molecule: ribosomal RNA, 509 nt
Filed under: uncultured Glomus
Lineage: Eukaryota; Fungi; Glomeromycota; Glomeromycetes; Glomerales; Glomeraceae
Description: SSU rRNA
Rfam family: Eukaryotic small subunit ribosomal RNA
Source: RNAcentral